RNAcentral lists this microRNA precursor (99 nucleotides) under Amborella trichopoda. Its description in RNAcentral is "pre miRNA mir-598". It matches the Rfam family "mir-598 microRNA precursor family". The record is from RNAcentral. Lineage: Eukaryota; Viridiplantae; Streptophyta; Magnoliopsida; Amborellales; Amborellaceae.
UGAUGAUGAUGAUGAUGAUGAUGAUGAUGAUGAUGAUAAUGAUAUAGUAAUUGGACAAAAUCCAUAAUUAAUUCAUCAUCAUCAUCAUCAUCAUCCGAG